Long non-coding RNA from Equus asinus (donkey), 2938 nucleotides. NCBI's taxonomy places the organism in Eukaryota, Metazoa, Chordata, Mammalia, Perissodactyla, Equidae. The record is from Ensembl.
GAUUUAGAGAAACAACAAAGGAUAGUGCUGUGCCCUGGGAGCUGUUACCUCCCCUUGCCCGGAGGUGAGGGGAGGGAGAAGAUACCCCCAGGUAGAGAGGACAGUGGAAUGAUAAGGACCGCCCACGGGAGCAGUGCCAUUCGCUAGAUGGACGCAGCCAACCAGGAGCAGCUCAGCAGAAAGGGAACUGGAAGAAUAAAUAUUCCGAGCUCACCCUCCAUCCCUCUGCCUGACACCGUGGGUACCUCCCCCUGGCCAACCCCAGCUGGAAGCCAGGGUGGAGGGGGGCCGGUGAGGCAGUCCUUGCAGGCCAGCCUCGCAGGGCUCAGCGCUGAACGGGGAAGGGCGGAGGGCCAACAGCAAGCACCCGGCAUGUCCCUCUACCAUGGCGUAUUCCAGAGGACCACACUCCCGGGGAAGGGUUGGCAAGCCCAGGCCUCCACGUGCCCUCCCUCUCCCCCUCCACCCCACGUGCAAAUGAACUCCACAACUAAAGCUCUUGCAGGUACAGAGAAUUUUCUCCUGCUCAUCCCUUGUCUGAUCAAUCCAGAAUAAUUGCUGGGCGGACAGAAGGCGACUAACUUGCAUGAGGUUCUUCCUAAUCGUUAAUUCAGAUUACCCUCUUCUCCACACCCUACUGCACUGUCUGGAGUUCUAGCCAUUUGUCGAGUGUGUGCGCUUGUGUGUGCGUGUCCUUGGUCCACAGUCUUUGGGUUAGAGCCACAGACGCCUCACUAACGGGUCCCUGCAGAGCCGAGAGCUCUGAGCACGUGGCCACUGAGCCCCCUGGGAAGGGAGGAGGUUCUCUUUCCCACACACGUCUCCUCGUAGCGGUGAGCACAGCUCAGUGCUGAGUGCAGCCAGAGGCUUGCUUUCCCUUCUCGCCCUAAGAUGUAAAAACAAGACCUUGGUCUGUCGGACCGGGACCGGCAGUGGCUGGGCUUCCCACUCUGGAGUCUGGAGAAGGAAGGUUGUAUUACGAGGGAAGCUGCUGGUUGGAUGAGCAGAGAACUCAGUGAACGGGAAAGUGAAGAGAUGUUUCUCAGGACCUAAACCAGAAAGUCUCCACUCUGACGGCAGAGUCGAGAAUGUUCCUCUUAGAGGCCCCUGCUGCUUUUCAAAUCCCGGAGAAGGCACCGUGACGUCAUGAAAACCACCAAUUGAAUGAGUUUCUUAGGUGCCUGUCUUUUAGGGCGCGGGGCUUGCAACCAGCCCCCAGGUCACUGCCCCACCCUGCCAGAGGCCCUGCAAGCUUGGCCAGGGACAGUCACCCCAGUUUGUUCUUCUGGGCCCUCCUUGCCUCAUAGGGGUUUCUCACAGACUGUGCUUCAUCGGUUGUGAGAUCUUUUCUCCGAGUAACUAAGGGAAGGAUUUUCGUUCCCACCGUCCACAUCAAUAGAUAUCCCCCACACGGACCACAAGGUGAGGAGACCCCCGCUGCACCAGCCUCUUUAUCGAAGAAUAACCUUGGUGCUUCUUGCUGGAAGAUGCUGCCCGUGAGGAACCGGAGACUAAGAGCUUGCAGUGUGGAACUAGAGAUGUCCCACAAGUGACUGGACAGAGGAUAGAAGUUCCCAGCCUCCAGAGUGGAGCAUCCAUCAGCAUAGGCCCUUACAUCACAGCCCGGAUCCAUCUGGAAUGCUCUCCAGCACACCUCCACCUGCAUGUGUUCUUACCUUCCUUCAAAGGCCAGCUCAACUGCCACCAUCUCCGAGAAGUCCACCUAGAUCCUGUGCAUGCUUCAAGUCAUUUUGGAGGGUGCCCAAAUGUUGCCUGAUUUGUCUCCUAUUAGAGUUAGCUGUGAGGUAUCUGCCUCCCGACCUAGAAUAAGAGUUCCUCGGGGGCAGGAACUUCAUCUCCUUCCCCUCUGUGUCCCUCCCUUGCUCCUAACAGGGGACUUCGCAGGCUGUAUAAGUUUAUUGAAUUGAAUGAAAGUGGAUAAUUCAAAAUGGGUUAUUUGAAAUGCCUGAGCUCAGCUAUACUCCUCACAGAGAAGCUAAAUGUAUCUUGCUCACAUUGUGAAUGUCCACACCGUAUUCUGGACUUUGGACUGGAUCUGUCCUGCAAACUUAGUCUCAGCUCAGAGAAGUUGGAAGCUUAUUAAAAUAGUUCAGCAAGAUGUCCCUGAGCCUCCCAUGCUCGGUGCUCCAUCCCUGAAGUAUUCUUGGUCAAAUCAGGCUCUUAUCGGUCAAGGACAGUUACUUUCGUGCCUUCCCAUCCUCGCCCUGCACACACACACACCAAAGACAUGGGCAAGUUUAAAUCUUUUCUUAUAAGGAAAGCUUCGGAGAAGAUCCUCUGUGGCAGGAGAUAUUAGUGGCUUGAGGACAAUUCCUGUCUAACUGAACGGGAGUGAUUAAAGCACUUUUUGGUGUUCAGCAGAUUCAUGGUGCCACAAAACAUUGUCUGGGCAGACAGCGAGACCCAUUGGGCCUCUGCGGCUAGGACUGGCUUCUGUUGCAAUGAAACAGAGCUUCCGGCCGGACUGUAAUUUGGGAUGCACAAGGAGGCAUCUGAAUAUUAGAACAACUUUCUUCUCUUCACAUUUGUCUUGAGGGCUCUCCAAUCCUGAGACCUACGAUUCUUCCCUCCUUUGCUUCCUGGGAGCCUAGCCCAACUUUUGGGCUGGGGGUUCCAAAGUGAUUACGUGGCAGCCCUAGGUUGCUCAUGGUCCAGUAGAGGCAAGCCACCAAGCACACAGUAAUCUGAGCACCCAGGGGUGGCAAGGGAGGGAGCUCUUCCGCCUCUUGUCUCCACCAGUCCUCCACCUUUCUCUUUUUCUGGGCCUUUCUUUGAUAUGGACAAGCGACAUUUUCUCCAUCGUAGUGAAGCCAUGACUUGAAGGCCCGGUUGCAAUAUGACGUUGCCCCAAAGACUCUUCUUACAGUGUGGUCUUCCCCUUAUCUGCGGGGGACACGUUCCAAGACCCCCAGUGGAU